GCAAGAAUGAAACUCAAAGGAAUUGACGGGGGCCCGCACAAGCGGAGGAACAUGUGGUUUAAUUCGAUGAUACGCGAGGAACCUUACCUGGGCUUAAAUGGGAGGCGCCUUCGGGCGUAGUCCUUCGAAAGGAGGCUUAAACUUUCAAGGUGCUGCAUGGUUGUCGUCAGCUCGUGCCGUGAGGUGUCGGGUUAAGUCCCAUAACGAGCGCAACCCUUAUUUCUAGUUGCCAACAGGUUAUGCUGGGGACUCCAGAGAGACUGCCAUCGUAAGAUGUGAGGAAGGUGGGGAUGACGUCAAAUCAGCACGGCCCUUAUGUCCAGGGCUACACACGUGUUACAAUGGUCUAUACAAAGGGCAGCUACCAGGUGACUGGAUGCUAAUCUCUAAAAUAGGCCUCAGUUCGGAUUGGAGUCUGCAAUUCGACUCCAUGAAGGCGGAUUCGCUAGUAAUCGGAUAUCAGCAAUGAUCCGGUGAAUACGUUCCCGGGCCUUGUACACACCGCCCGUCAAGCCAUGGAAGCUGGGGGUACCUGAAGUCUGCAACCGCAAGGAGUGGCCUAAGGUAAAACUAGUAACUAGGGCUAAGUCGUAACAAGGUA
This 601-nucleotide ribosomal RNA is filed under the name uncultured bacterium. RNAcentral's name for it is "bacterial SSU rRNA". It matches the Rfam family "Bacterial small subunit ribosomal RNA", at positions 888 to 1498 of the family's 1533-position model. The record is from RNAcentral.